UCCAACUUAAUGAAGAGAUUGAAGCCAGGAAAGAUGAAGAUAUUGCUUUGAUGGCUGCUUAGGGUACUUAUGAAGAAAUUUUAAGGACUAGUUGAAUGUACUAGGUACAUAAUUAGAGAAAGUUGUCAAUGACUUGUCAAAACUUUAAACCAGAGAAGUGGUUUACAGUGGCGGAUCUAUAAAUUUUCUUCAGGGGGUUCAAAAAAAUAAAAAUAUAAAUGUG
Molecule: long non-coding RNA, 223 nt
Filed under: Capsicum annuum
Lineage: Eukaryota; Viridiplantae; Streptophyta; Magnoliopsida; Solanales; Solanaceae
Description: long non-coding RNA (CANN_LNC002950)
Source: RNAcentral